RNAcentral lists this ribosomal RNA (523 nucleotides) under uncultured bacterium. RNAcentral's name for it is "bacterial SSU rRNA". It matches the Rfam family "Bacterial small subunit ribosomal RNA", at positions 984 to 1509 of the family's 1533-position model. The record is from RNAcentral.
ACAUCCAGAGAACUUAGCAGAGAUGCUUUGGUGCCUUCGGGAACUCUGAGACAGGUGCUGCAUGGCUGUCGUCAGCUCGUGUUGUGAAAUGUGGUUAAGUCCCGCAACGAGCGCAACCCCUAUCCUUUGUUGCCAGCGAUUCGGUCGGGAACUCAAAGGAGACUGCCGGUGAUAAACCGGAGGAAGGUGGGGAUGACGUCAAGUCAUCAUGGCCCUUACGAGUAGGGCUACACACGUGCUACAAUGGCGCAUACAAAGAGAAGCGACCUCGCGAGAGCAAGCGGACCUCAUAAAGUGCGUCGUAGUCCGGAUUGGAGUCUGCAACUCGACUCCAUGAAGUCGGAAUCGCUAGUAAUCGUAGAUCAGAAUGCUACGGUGAAUACGUUCCCGGGCCUUGUACACACCGCCCGUCACACCAUGGGAGUGGGUUGCAAAAGAAGUAGAUAGCUUAACCUUCGGGAGGGCGUUUACCACUUUGUGAUUCAUGACUGGGGUGAAGUCGUAACAAGGUAAGCGUACGUGU